Molecule: long non-coding RNA, 616 nt
Organism: Daphnia pulex (common water flea)
Lineage: Eukaryota; Metazoa; Arthropoda; Branchiopoda; Diplostraca; Daphniidae
Exons: 3
Source: RefSeq, a predicted model, not a curated record
UAUAUUUUUCACAUCUCUUAAGAAUUUCUCGCUGCUACUACAAGGAAAUUUUAUGUGGCAGCUGUCAGUUUCUGCUUCAGCAACAAAGCUCACUUGUUAGUUAAUCCUAAUCAUGUGCUUUUUUGGCUACUUCCGGUUUUCUUAUUUCAGUUGGUAGUUCAGUAAAUAUUCAUUCGACGCACAAAAGAACAACAUAUUCGUGAUCCUCGUCAAAUUUGUGUGGCAUAGGGAAAGCUGCUGGUGUUUAUGCUCAUUUGAUUCAUUUCGUGCCAGCUACUGAAAGCCGAAAGGCAUGUCGAAUUCAAUUGAGCUGCUGCGUGCUCCCGUGCUGUCUCCCUGUCUGGAAUCAACUAUUAAGCAAUCCAGCCGUUGCGUUCAGUCAUUUGAACAGGAAUCUAAUGGCUGUCAGUAGGUGGCUGUCAAAAGUUGGCUGAAAUGUCCACCAGGUAGGGCUAGUGUCUCCAGGGACUCACGGCUACCAUUUUGUUCCUAGACGCAGCAGAAAUGGGUUGCUGGUCGUGACGUUUCUCAAGAUGAAAAUUAAUGAAAGGUGAUUUGGCAUGUAGAAACCACUUUGCCAAAUCAUUCAACUCAGACUUGGAAAGUUGGAAGUGCC